AGCGAACGCUGGCGGCGUGCCUAACACAUGCAAGUCGAACGUGAAAGGGAGCAAUCCCAAGUAAAGUGGCGUACGGGUGAGUAACACGUAGGUAAUCUACCCCAGAAUCUGGAAUAACCGGCCGAAAGGCUGGCUAAUACUGGAUAGAGCGACGGAAUCCGUAAUUGGGUUUUUCGGGAAAGGGAGCCUGUAAAAAGGCCUUCGUUCUGGGAUGAGCCUGCGUCCCAUCAGCUAGUUGGUGAGGUAAAAGCUUACCAAGGCAAUGACGGGUAGCUGGUCUGAGAGGACGAGCAGCCAGACUGGAACUGAAACACGGUCCAGACUCCUACGGGAGGCAGCAGGGGGGAAUCUUGCGCAAUGGGCGAAAGUCUGACGCAGCAGCGCCGCGUGAGGGAAGAAGGCCUUCGGGUUGGAGAGCUCUGUCGAGUGGGACGAAAAUGCUUGGAGUUCACAGCACCAGGAACUGACGGUACCACUAAAGGAAGCACCGGCUAACUCCGUG
RNAcentral lists this ribosomal RNA (502 nucleotides) under uncultured bacterium. Its description in RNAcentral is "partial 16S ribosomal RNA". It matches the Rfam family "Bacterial small subunit ribosomal RNA", at positions 29 to 507 of the family's 1533-position model. The record is from RNAcentral.